Homo sapiens (human) is the source of this 4078-nucleotide long non-coding RNA. Ensembl annotates it as DPY19L2 pseudogene 2. Its record names the gene DPY19L2P2. The record is from Ensembl. NCBI's taxonomy places the organism in Eukaryota, Metazoa, Chordata, Mammalia, Primates, Hominidae.
GCGCGGAGGCGGGGGUGCUGCGCGCGCUGGGGAGCACGUGGGGGGACACGCAGGGACUGCCCGCGCGAAUGGCUUCCAACGCAUGCGCCCCACCCUACAUUUCACAGUCGCCAUGACGACCAGGAGGUCCGCUAGUCAACGGCUCGUCAACGGCUGCGGGGACAAGUCCGUUGAGGCUGCCAGGCGAGUCAGGCCUUUCUGGACCUCGCCUGACUCGGCUGGGCUGUGCCUGAAAUUGACCCAGCUCCACUAGGAAUUAUGAAGAAACAAGGAGUAAGCCCAAAGCCGCUGCAAUCUUCCCGCCCCAGCCCGUCUAAGCGGCCCUGCGGGGCCUCCCCCGCCCGGGAGCGGGAGGUGGAAAAGUCGGCCCUAGGCGGCGGGAAACUGCCGGGGGGCGCCAGGAGGUCCUCCCCGGGGAGGAUCCCAAAUCUGAAAAAGCGAAAAGGCUUGGAGCUAAAGGUGGUGGCCAAGGCCCUUCUCGGCCCCUUCCAGUUCGUCUGUAAUUCCCUGGCGCAGCUCCGGGAAGAGGUGCACGAACUGCAGGCGCGGUGGUUCCCCAGCAGAACCACUCUGCAUCGGGGAAUUGAAAACAAGGAAUUCCCCAACCAAACAGGGGCACAGGCUGUGUUUGCAGCUCCUGUAAAAGCUCCAUACCCAGAGCCGUGUCUCCCAGCUCCCAGCCGUCUUUGUGGCAAUUCUACAUUGGUUACAUUUAGUAACACUUUUUGAAAAUGAUCAUCAUUUCUCUCACCUCUCAUCUUUGGAACGGGAGAUGACUUUUUGCAUUGAAACGGUUAGGUUUCUUCUUCUAACGAAUUAAUUUGUGGUUUAAGAAUAGCCAGACCGAGAGGUGACAGCAUGCUGGCAGUCCUCAGAGCCCUUGCUUGCUCUCGGCACCUCCCCUGCCUGGGCUCCCGCUUUGGUGGCAUUUGAGGAGCCCUUCAGUCCCCCACUGCACUGUGGGAGCCCCUUUCUGGGCUGGCCAAGGCCGGAGCCCACUCCCUCAGCUUGCAGGGAGGUGUGGAGGGAGAGACACGAGCGGGAACCGGGGCUGUGUGCUGCACUUGCGGGCCAUCUGGAGUUCCGGGUGGGCGUGGGCUUGGUGGGCCCCGCACUCAGAGCAGCCAGCCAGCCCUGCUGGCCCCGGGCAAUGGGGGACUUAGCACCUGGGCCAGUGGCUGCGGAGGGUGUACUGAGUCCCCCAGCAGUGCUGGCCCACCGGCGCUGCGCUCGAUUUCUCGCUGGGCCUUGGCUGCCUUCCCACGGGGCAGGGCUCGGGACCUGCAGCCCGCCAUGCCUGAGCCUCCUACCCAAUCCAUGGGCUCCUGUGCGGCCUGAGCCUCCCCGACGAGCACCACCCCCUGCUCCACGGCGCCCAGUCCCAUCGACCACGCAAGGGCUGAGGAAUGCGAGCGCCCGGCACAGGACUGGCAGGCAGCUCCACCUGCAGCCCCAGUGCAGGAUCCACUAGGUGAAGCCAGCUGGGCUCCUGAGUCUGGUGGGGACGUGGAGAGUCUUUAUAUCUAGCUCAGGGAUUGUAAAUACACCAAUCAGCACCCUGUGUUUAGCUCAAGGUUUGUGAGUGCACCAGUCAACACUCUGUAUCUAGCUGCUCUGGUGAGGGCGUGGAGAGUCUUUAUGUCUAGCUCAAGGAUUGUAAAUACACCAAUCAGCACUCUGUGUCUAGCUCAAGGAUUGUAAAUACACCAAUCGGCACUCUGUAUCUAGCUCAAGGUUUGUAAACACACCAAUCAGCACCCUGUGUUUAGCUCAAGGUUUGUGAGUGCACCAGUCGACACUCUGUAUCUAGCUGCCCUGAUGGGGACGUGGAGAACCUUUGUAUCUAGCUCAGGGAUUGUAAACGCACCAAUCAGCGCCCUGACGAAACAGGCCACUCGGCUCUACCAAUCAGCAGGAUGUAGGUGGGGCCAGAUAAGAGAAUAAAAGCGGGCUGCCCGAGCCAGCAUUGGCAACCCGCUCGGGUCCCCUUCCACACUGUGGAAGCUUUGUUCUUUCGCUCUUUGCAAUAAAUCUUGCUACUGCUCACUCUUUGGGUCCACGCUGCUUUUGUGAGCUGUAACACUCACCAUGAAGAUCUGCAGCUUCACUCCUGAGCCCAGCGAGACCACGAGCCCACCGGGAGGAACGAACAACUCCAGACACGCCACCUUAAGAGCUGUAACACUCACCGCGAGGGUCCACCGCUUCAUUCUUGAAGUCAGUGAGACCAAGAACCCACCAAUUCCGGACACAAGACUAUGAGGGACUUUAUUAUUCUUACUUCAAGACCAUUAUUGAAGCACCUUCAUUUUUGGGAGGACUGUGGAUGAUUAUGAAUGACAGGCUUACUGAAUAUCCUCUUGUAAUUAAUGCAGUAAAACGCUUCCAUAUUUAUCCAGAGGUAAUCAUAGCCUCCUGGUAUCGCACAUUCAUGGGAAUAGUGAAUUUAUUUGGACUAGAAACUAAGACCUGCUGGAAUGUCACCAGAAUAGAACCUCUUAAUGAAGUUCAAAGCUGUGAAGGAUUGCGAGAUCCUGCUUGCUUUUAUGUUGGUGUAAUCUUUAUUUUAAAUGGACUAAUGAUGGGAUUGUUCUUCAUAUAUGGAACAUACCUAAGUGGUACUGAACUGGGAGGUCUUAUUACAGUACUGUGCUUCUUUUUCAACCAUGGAGAGGCCACCUGUGUGAUGUGGACACCACCUCUCCGUGAAAGUUUUUCCUAUCCUUUCCUUGUACUUCAGAUGUAUGUUUUAACUUUGAUUCUCAGGACCUCAAGCAAUGAUAGAAGGCCCUUCAUUGCACUCUGUCUUUCCAAUGUUGCUUUUAUGCUUCCCUGGCAAUUUGCUCAGUUUAUACUUUUUACACAGAUAGCAUCAUUAUUUCCCAUGUAUGUUGUGGGAUACAUUGAACCAAGCAAAUUUCAGAAGAUCAUUUAUAUGAACAUGAUUUCAGUUACCCUUAGUUUCAUUUUGAUGUUUGGAAAUUCAAUGUACUUAUCUUCUUAUUAUUCUUCAUCUUUGUUAAUGACAUGGGCAAUAAUUCUAAAGAGAAAUGAAAUUCAAAAACUGGGAGUAUCUAAACUCAACUGCUGGCUAAUUCAAGGUAGUGCCUGGUGGUGUGGAACAAUCAUUUUGAAAUUUCUGACAUCUAAAAUCUUAGGCGUUUCAGACCAUAUUUGCCUGAGUGAUCUUAUAGCAGCCGGAAUCUUAAGGUAUACAGAUUUUGAUACUUUAAAAUACACCUGUUCUCCCGAAUUUGACUUCAUGGAAAAAGCGACUCUGCUGAUAUACACAAAGACAUUAUUGCUUCCAGUUGUUAUGGUGAUUACAUGUUUUAUCUUUAAAAAGACUGUUGGUGAUAUUUCGCGUGUUUUAGCUACAAACGUUUAUCUAAGAAAACAGCUCCUUGAACACAGUGAGCUGGCUUUUCACACAUUGCAGUUGUUAGCAUUUACUGCCCUUGCCAUUUUAAUUUUGAGGCUAAAGCUGUUUUUGACACAGCACAUGUGUGUUAUGGCUUCCUUGAUAUGCUCUUGACGGCUCUUUGGCUGGCUUUUUCGCAGAGUUCGCAGAGAGAAUGUUAUCUUUGGCAUUCUAACAGUGAUGUCAAUACAAGGUUAUGCAAACCUCUGUAAUCAAUGGAGCAUAACAGGAGAAUUUAAUGAUUUGCCUCAGGAAGAACUUUUACAGUGGAUCAAAUACAAUACCGUACCAGAUGCUGUCUUUGCAGGUGCCAUGCCUACAAUGGCAAGUGUCAAGCUGUCUACACUUCAUCCCAUUGUGAAUCAUCCACAUUACGAAGAUGCAGACUUGAGGGCUUGGACAAAAAUAGUUUAUUCUACAUAUAGUGGAAAAUCUGCCAAAGAAGUAAGAGAUAAAUUGUUGGAGUUACAUGUGAAUUAUUAUGUUUUAGAAGAGGCAUGGUGUGUUGUGAGAACUAAGCCUGGUUGCAGCAUGCUUGAAAUCUGGGAUGUGGAAGACCCUUCCAAUGCAGCUAACCCUCCCUUAUGUAGCGUCCUCCUUGAGCCGAGAUUGUGCCACUGCACUCCAGCCUGGGCGACAAAUCAAGACCCCGUCUCC